This 292-nucleotide ribosomal RNA is filed under the name uncultured bacterium. RNAcentral's name for it is "partial 16S ribosomal RNA". It matches the Rfam family "Bacterial small subunit ribosomal RNA", at positions 505 to 796 of the family's 1533-position model. The record is from RNAcentral.
GUGUCAGCAGCCGCGGUAAUACGGAGGGUGCAAGCGUUAUCCGGAUUCACUGGGUUUAAAGGGUGCGUAGGCGGAUAUGUAAGUCCGUGGUGAAAUCUCUGGGCUUAACCCGGAAACUGCCAUGGAUACUAUGUGUCUUGAAUGUUGUUGAGGUGAGCGGAAUAUGUCAUGUAGCGGUGAAAUGCUUAGAUAUGACAUAGAACACCAAUUGCGAAGGCAGCUCACUAAGCAAAUAUUGACGCUGAGGCACGAAAGCGUGGGGAUCAAACAGGAUUAGAUACCCUGGUAGUCC